UACGUAGGGUGCAAGCGUUGUCCGGAAUUAUUGGGCGUAAAGAGCUCGUAGGCGGUCUGUUGCGUCGGCUGUGAAAACCCGAGGCUCAACCUCGGGCCUGCAGCCGAUACGGGCAGACUAGAGUUCGGCAGGGGAGACUGGAAUUCCUGGUGUAGCGGUGAAAUGCGCAGAUAUCAGGAGGAACACCGGCGGCGAAGGCGGGUCUCUGGGCCGUAACUGACACUGAGGAGCGAAAGCGUGGGGAGCGAACAGG
Molecule: ribosomal RNA, 253 nt
Filed under: uncultured bacterium
Lineage: Bacteria
Description: partial 16S ribosomal RNA
Rfam family: Bacterial small subunit ribosomal RNA
Source: RNAcentral